RNAcentral lists this ribosomal RNA (429 nucleotides) under Acinetobacter baumannii. RNAcentral's name for it is "bacterial SSU rRNA". It matches the Rfam family "Bacterial small subunit ribosomal RNA", at positions 1 to 430 of the family's 1533-position model. The record is from RNAcentral. Lineage: Bacteria; Pseudomonadati; Pseudomonadota; Gammaproteobacteria; Moraxellales; Moraxellaceae.
UUUAACUGAAGAGUUUGAUCAUGGCUCAGAUUGAACGCUGGCGGCAGGCUUAACACAUGCAAGUCGAGCGGGGGAAGGUAGCUUGCUACCGGACCUAGCGGCGGACGGGUGAGUAAUGCUUAGGAAUCUGCCUAUUAGUGGGGGACAACAUCUCGAAAGGGAUGCUAAUACCGCAUACGUCCUACGGGAGAAAGCAGGGGAUCUUCGGACCUUGCGCUAAUAGAUGAGCCUAAGUCGGAUUAGCUAGUUGGUGGGGUAAAGGCCUACCAAGGCGACGAUCUGUAGCGGGUCUGAGAGGAUGAUCCGCCACACUGGGACUGAGACACGGCCCAGACUCCUACGGGAGGCAGCAGUGGGGAAUAUUGGACAAUGGGGGGAACCCUGAUCCAGCCAUGCCGCGUGUGUGAAGAAGGCCUUAUGGUUGUAAAG